GGAGUGUUUGUUGAAAUUAAAUCGAAUUGAAUGAUGUUUCUCCUUUUAGGCCUUGGCCUUACACAAUAUUUCAACGAGGCUUUGACCUGGUUUUGGGAGAGCAGCCCUCUGAUAAGAUAUUCAGAUUCACCUACACACUUGGGGAGGGCAUGUGGUUGCCCCUUAGCAAGAGCUUUGUGAUUCCACCAGCUGAACUGGCCAUCAAUCCAUCUGCAAAAUGUAAGACAGAUAUGACUGUGAUGGAGGACGCGGUGGAGGUCAGGUGAGUCUGGGUUCUAAGACCUGUGCUUCCUGUGGGAGGCUGAGUAAGAAACUCCACGAAGGUGCU
Molecule: long non-coding RNA, 328 nt
Filed under: Dasypus novemcinctus (nine-banded armadillo)
Lineage: Eukaryota; Metazoa; Chordata; Mammalia; Cingulata; Dasypodidae
Description: lncRNA (ENSDNOG00000051114.1)
Source: RNAcentral